Molecule: long non-coding RNA, 344 nt
Filed under: Anas platyrhynchos (mallard)
Lineage: Eukaryota; Metazoa; Chordata; Aves; Anseriformes; Anatidae
Description: lncRNA (ENSAPLG00020003657.1)
Source: RNAcentral
GGUGGCAGCCAGACCUCCAAAGAAGUUGACAGCUACGGUUUUAGGUCUCCAGCUCUAUGCCAGUGCACCCCUAAAAUUAUCAAAGAGCAGAGGUCGAAGAAGGGCAGAGGCUUUUAAAGCAUCCGACCAGCGUGAGCGCUCAAACUGCGAGCCCAGCCUCCCUGACGUGGCAGGAGGGAGAGUCCCAGCUGGAAAUACGCGCUGCAGCCAUCCACCUGAGGGGACCCUGCGCAGGCAGAAGAAAAGUAACAGGAUUAGAACAGGAAGGGGAGCCGUGACAUGCAUCAUAGGUAGGUAAGCAACAGUCAUCAAUCUCUUCCUGUGGUGGUGUUGAAAGUAGUCAC